This 304-nucleotide signal recognition particle RNA is filed under the name Manihot esculenta (cassava). Its description in RNAcentral is "Plant signal recognition particle RNA". It matches the Rfam family "Plant signal recognition particle RNA". The record is from Rfam by way of RNAcentral. Lineage: Eukaryota; Viridiplantae; Streptophyta; Magnoliopsida; Malpighiales; Euphorbiaceae.
GCCGAGCUCAGUAACGUGGGCUUGUCACCCAAGUGGGGGCUCGAAGGUGUUGGAACGUUGUUCGAGCCCUUAUGGCAGGAUCAGGCUUGGCUAAAUUUCUGGCUUGCCCGUUCCAAGCUGAGAGUUAAACCAUGGGACCUGGGCGUAGGCUUGGGUCUCCUAGUUCCUAGAGCAGAGGGUAAUGCGUGAGGCUGGCUUCACAGAGCAGCGAUUACCUCUCGCUCCCAGCAGUGGAAGGAUAACAGGUCAGUACCAUCCUGGUUCAUAUGGCUAGAUGGGCUGUGCUAACUGGACCAUCACUUUU